UACGGAAGGUCCUGGCGUUAUCCGGAUUUAUUGGGUUUAAAGGGAGCGCGGGCGGCCUGUUAAGCGUGACGUGAAAUGCGGUGGCUCAACCACUGGAGUGCGUCGCGAACUGCCGGGCUUGAGCGCGCUGAACGAGGGUGGAAUUCGCGGUGUAGCGGUGAAAUGCUUAGAUAUCGCGAGGAACUCCGAUUGCGAAGGCAGCUCUCGGCGGCGCUACUGACGCUGAUGCUCGAAGGUGCGGGUAUCGAAC
This 250-nucleotide ribosomal RNA is filed under the name uncultured prokaryote. Its description in RNAcentral is "partial 16S ribosomal RNA". It matches the Rfam family "Bacterial small subunit ribosomal RNA", at positions 524 to 773 of the family's 1533-position model. The record is from RNAcentral.